Molecule: non-coding RNA, 107 nt
Filed under: Thioalkalivibrio halophilus
Lineage: Bacteria; Pseudomonadati; Pseudomonadota; Gammaproteobacteria; Chromatiales; Ectothiorhodospiraceae
Description: TPP sequence
Rfam family: TPP riboswitch aptamer (THI element)
About the family: Vitamin B(1) in its active form thiamin pyrophosphate (TPP) is an essential coenzyme that is synthesised by coupling of pyrimidine and thiazole moieties in bacteria. The previously detected thiamin-regulatory element, thi box was extended, resulting in a new, highly conserved RNA secondary structure, the THI element, which is widely distributed in eubacteria and also occurs in some archaea.
Source: RNAcentral
GAGGUGAGCUGGGGGUGCCCCGUUGUCGAGAGCGGCGACCGGGCUGAGAGAGUCCCCUUGAACCUGAACCGGUUAACACCGGCGGAGGGAAGCUCGGUCAACGGUCU